AUUAACGCUAGCGGCAGGCAUAAUACAUGCACGUUGAACGGCAGCACAGGUAGCAAUACUGGGUGGCGAGUGGCGCACGGGUGCGUAACACGUAUGCAACCUACCCUAUACAGGCGAAUAACCUUUAGAAAUGAGGGCUAAUACGCCGUAGUAUUACAGAUGGGCAUCUAUUUGUAAUUAAAGAUUUAUCGGUAUAGGAUGGGCAUGCGUCCCAUUAGUUAGUUGGUAAGGUAACGGCUUACCAAGACGAUGAUGGGUAGGGGAUCUGAGAGGACUUACCCCCACACUGGUACUGAGACACGGACCAGACUCCUACGGGAGGCAGCAGUAAGGAAUAUUGGGCAAUGGCCGCGAGGCUGACCCAGCCAUGCCGCGUGCAGGAAGACGGCCUUAUGGGUUGUAAACUGCUUUUAUACGGGAAUAAUAGAGUGUACGCGUACAUUUAUGCAAGUAUCGUAUGAAUAAGCAUCGGCUAACUCCGUG
This 483-nucleotide ribosomal RNA is filed under the name uncultured bacterium. RNAcentral describes it as "partial 16S ribosomal RNA". It matches the Rfam family "Bacterial small subunit ribosomal RNA", at positions 29 to 507 of the family's 1533-position model. The record is from RNAcentral.